UAAUACGGAGGGUGCAAGCGUUACUCGGAAUUACUGGGCGUAAAGGGCGCGUAGGCGGUUCGAUUAGUCAGAUGUGAAAGCCCGAGGCUUAACCUCGGAAGUGCAUUUGAAACUGUCGAACUUGAGUAUGGGAGAGGGAAGUGGAAUUCCUGGUGUAGAGGUGAAAUUCGUAGAUAUCAGGAGGAACACCGGUGGCGAAGGCGACUUCCUGGACCAAUACUGACGCUGAGGCGCGAAGGCGUGGGGAGCAAACAGGAUUAGAUACCCUGGUAGUCCACGCAGUAAACGGUGAACACUAGGUGUAGCGGGUAUUGACCCCUGCUGUGCCGCAGCUAACGCAUUAAGUGUUCCGCCUGGGAAGUACGGCCGCAAGGUUA
Molecule: ribosomal RNA, 377 nt
Filed under: uncultured delta proteobacterium
Lineage: Bacteria; Deltaproteobacteria
Description: bacterial SSU rRNA
Rfam family: Bacterial small subunit ribosomal RNA
Source: RNAcentral